Long non-coding RNA from Sinocyclocheilus rhinocerous, 118 nucleotides. RefSeq lists it as uncharacterized. The record is from RefSeq and is a predicted model, not a curated record. The transcript has 2 exons. Lineage: Eukaryota; Metazoa; Chordata; Actinopteri; Cypriniformes; Cyprinidae.
CUGGAAACAUCCCGGGCUGAUGCUCACAAGUCCGGGGCCCCGUGCACCCAGGACGCAAUCUUCUCAGAUGUCCUUCACUCUGGCGCCAGGACACCACGGACCCUGGGUGCACCCGCAG